RNAcentral lists this ribosomal RNA (253 nucleotides) under uncultured bacterium. RNAcentral describes it as "partial 16S ribosomal RNA". It matches the Rfam family "Bacterial small subunit ribosomal RNA", at positions 524 to 776 of the family's 1533-position model. The record is from RNAcentral.
CACGUAGGGUGCGAGCGUUGUCCGGAAUUAUUGGGCGUAAAGAGCUCGUAGGCGGUCCGUCACGUCGGAUGUGAAAUUCCAGGGCUCAACCCUGGACCUGCAUUCGAUACGGGCGGACUAGAGUUCGGUAGGGGAGACUGGAAUUCCUGGUGUAGCGGUGAAAUGCGCAGAUAUCAGGAGGAACACCGGUGGCGAAGGCGGAUCUCUGGGCCAUUACUGACGCUGAGGAGCGAAAGCGUGGGGAGCAAACAGG